This 804-nucleotide ribosomal RNA is filed under the name uncultured bacterium. RNAcentral describes it as "bacterial SSU rRNA". It matches the Rfam family "Bacterial small subunit ribosomal RNA", at positions 1 to 802 of the family's 1533-position model. The record is from RNAcentral.
UAGAGUUUGAUCCUGGCUCAGGAUGAACGCUAGCUACAGGCUUAACACAUGCAAGUCGAGGGGCAUCGAGGCGGUAGCAAUACCGCUGUCGGCGACCGGCGCACGGGUGAGUAACGCGUAUCCAACCUACCCUCCAGUAGGGCAUAGCCCGUAGAAAUGCGGAUUAAUACCCUAUGUUGUAUUUUGAGGACAUCUGAUGAAUACCAAAGGUUUACCGCUGGGGGAUGGGGAUGCGUCUGAUUAGGUAGUCGGCGGGGUAACGGCCCACCGAGCCUUCGAUCAGUAGGGGUUCUGAGAGGAAGGUCCCCCACAUUGGAACUGAGACACGGUCCAAACUCCUACGGGAGGCAGCAGUGAGGAAUAUUGGUCAAUGGGCGAUGGCCUGAACCAGCCAAGUAGCGUGCGGGAUGACGGCCCUAUGGGUUGUAAACCGCUUUUGCAGGGGAAUAAAGUGCGGUACGCGUACCGUUUUGUAUGUACCCUGAGAAUAAGGACCGGCUAAUUCCGUGCCAGCAGCCGCGGUAAUACGGAAGGUCCGGGCGUUAUCCGGAUUUAUUGGGUUUAAAGGGAGCGCAGGCUGGAUAUUAAGCGUGACGUGAAAUGCCGCGGCUCAACCGUGGAAGUGCGUCGCGAACUGGUGUCCUUGAGUGUAUUCGACGUCAGCGGAAUUCGUGGUGUAGCGGUGAAAUGCUUAGAUAUCACGAAGAACUCCGAUUGCGAAGGCAGCUGGCGAGGCUACAACUGACGCUAAAGCUCGAAGGUGCGGGUAUCGAACAGGAUUAGAUACCCUGGUAGUCCGCACGG